Long non-coding RNA from Leptopilina heterotoma, 1381 nucleotides. RefSeq lists it as uncharacterized. The record is from RefSeq and is a predicted model, not a curated record. The transcript has 3 exons. Lineage: Eukaryota; Metazoa; Arthropoda; Insecta; Hymenoptera; Figitidae.
AAUCAUAGAGGUUUUUCCUUUUCGACGUUAUAGAAAACAAAAUGGUCGACGCAUUUGCAGGAAAAGUAAAUGUGUUUAGUUUUUGAAAUAAGUUUCUAAAAAAUACGUUUUUAUGGAAAAUAAAUUGCAGGAGAAUAAUUUUUUUUUAAGAUUAUUAAGUGGUUAAAGUUACAUUAUGUUAAAAAAUAAAACGUAAAUUAACGUUUUUAUAUUUUUGGAAUAGCGACAAAAGUGACAUCUACAGCAGACGCGUUGUAAUUAACAGCGUAGUAGGUAGAAGGGGUAGAAGACGCCGCGCCGGCGCCAUAUUGAACACGUGCUUAUUGAAAUUGAAUAAAUCGUUCUCUCUUUUACAAUUGAGCCACGGAAGUGAACAAAUGGAAAAUUAUUUAUUAUUUAAAUAUUGUGAAUUUUUCUUCUGUAAAUUCAGUGUCUACAUAUCUACAAAAUUUGUAUUAUCAGAUUAAAAGAAAAGUAAGUCCUGUGGAUUUCGAUUAGCAGAACAACACAUUGCCGAAUGGAUACUUCACAAUCUCUUUUAUGAGUGACGUCACAUCUACCUGGAUGUAGUACAAUGCCUUUGUCUCUAAUCCUUUCACAGAAGAUUUGAAGGAAACGAAUCAAGUUACAAGACACAAGAAAUUAUAGUGUUUCAUUUUUUUUUGUUGCAGAUAUAUUUAAAAAAUAUUCGCGAGUGCAGUGUAAUUUUUAAAAGUGUAAAUUAUUAUUAAUUGUAUAUUAUUUUAAUAGUUUUUGCAUAUUACGAAACUGCGAAAUGUAAUGUAAAUUAUGUUUAAAUUGUUAAAGCGUCAGUGGGCGUGGUCACACCAGCGACGUAAGUCCGCCUCAAAGAAGGGGACUUCUUAGAAAUGAAACAUAAGCGUCGGAGUGUCAGUAGUGGGGGCGAGAGAGAAGUUAUAGUCUUUCUCGCUCACACUCAUGCUCCCCACUCUGGCGCUUACGUUCCACUUCUCAGAAGCUACUCUUUCAGGCAUUCUUGCGUCGACAGUGUAACAGCGCGCACACUCAAGAAGUUCUUUGUCGUUCAUGAAGAGGAAUCAUCAUUCACCUUUAACCCCAUCGGAAUCUUCUUUCAAGGAACAAUUGUGAGUCAAAUUAAUAAUCACUAUUUCUAUUUUCUUUCUUACUUUUUUCCUACACUUGAAAAUAUUUUAUUCAAAUUAAAAAAUGUUUUUCAUUCAAAAUCUAGUUUCUUUUUAAUCUGGUGUUUAUCCAACAAAAUGCACACUUUUAAAAAAAGAAUUAUCAAUGGUAUUAAGCAAAAAUAUUAAUUUUUAAGAAAAAAAAUUAACAAUCAAAAAAUUUAUUUGUUUAUACAAUUUACUUAUAAUCUAAAGGUUUUGUCAUAUCGCCUUCCUAA